CACGUAGGAGGCAAACGUUAUCCGGAUUUAUUGGGCGUAAAGCGCGUGUAGGUGGUUCUGUAAGUAGGGCGUGAAAGCUCCUGGCUCAACCGGGAGAGGCCGUUCUAUACUGCAGAGCUAGAGGAUGGUAGAGGGAGGUGGAAUUCCAGGUGUAGCGGUGGAAUGCGCAGAUAUCUGGAGGAACACCAGUGGCGAAGGCGGCCUCCUGGACCAUUCCUGACACUCAGACGCGAAAGCUAGGGUAGCAAACGGGAUUAGAUACCCCCGUAGU
RNAcentral lists this ribosomal RNA (271 nucleotides) under uncultured prokaryote. RNAcentral describes it as "partial 16S ribosomal RNA". It matches the Rfam family "Bacterial small subunit ribosomal RNA", at positions 524 to 794 of the family's 1533-position model. The record is from RNAcentral.